UCCAAUUCCACCGCCUCCGCCUCCUCCGCCACCGCCACCACCGCCAAAUCCACCACCAAAACCACUUUCUGCUCCUCCACCAACACCUCCUCCAAAGCCACCUCCUUUGCCAAAUCCUCCACCAAUACCACUGCCAGAACCUCCUCCAAUGCCACCACCAAAACCUCCACCUUUGCCAAAUCCUCCUCCAAUGCCACCACCAGAACCACCUCCAAUACCACCGCCUAAACCUCCACCUGAACCACCUCCAAUACCUCCACCAAAACCUCCUCCUUUUCCAAUUCCACCACCAAUGCCAGUACCAGAACCACCUCCAACACCUCCACCUAAACCACCACCUCCGCCUGAACCUCCUCCAAUACCACCGCCUAAACCUCCACCUUUACCAAUACCACCUCCUUUCCCAAAGCCUCCACCACCACCAAGUCCUCCACCUUUACCAAUUCCACCUCCAACGCCACCACCUUUUCCAAAGCCUCCUCCACCACCAACACCUCCACCUUUGCCAAUUCCACCUCCAACGCCACCACCUUUUCCAAAGCCUCCACCACCACCAAGUCCUCCACCUUUGCCAAUUCCACCUCCAACGCCACCACCUUUUCCAAAGCCUCCUCCACCACCAACACCUCCACCUUUGCCAAUUCCACCUCCNNNNNNNNNNNNNNNNNNNNNNNNNNNNNNNNNNNNNNNNNNNAACACCACCACCUUUUCCGAAGCCUCCUCCAACACCAAAACCUCCACCUUUGCCAAUUCCCCCUCCAAUGCCACCACCUUUUCCAAAGCCACCUCCACCACCAAGACCUCCACCUUUGCCAAUUCCACCUCCAACACCACCACCUUUUCCAAAGCCUCCUCCAACACCAAAACCUCCACCUUUGCCAAUUCCACCUCCAACACCACCACCUUUUCCAAAGCCACCACCACCUCCUAACN
Molecule: long non-coding RNA, 933 nt
Filed under: Trifolium pratense (red clover)
Lineage: Eukaryota; Viridiplantae; Streptophyta; Magnoliopsida; Fabales; Fabaceae
Description: long non-coding RNA (TPRA_LNC012174)
Source: RNAcentral